RNAcentral lists this ribosomal RNA (447 nucleotides) under uncultured beta proteobacterium. Its description in RNAcentral is "bacterial SSU rRNA". It matches the Rfam family "Bacterial small subunit ribosomal RNA", at positions 198 to 626 of the family's 1533-position model. The record is from RNAcentral. Lineage: Bacteria; Pseudomonadati; Pseudomonadota; Betaproteobacteria.
GGAGAAAAGCAGGGGAUCGCAAGACCUUGCGCUCAUUGAGCGGCCGAUGCCUGAUUAGCUAGUUGGUGAGGUAAAGGCUUACCAAGGCGACGAUCAGUAGCUGGUCUGAGAGGACGACCAGCCACACUGGGACUGAGACACGGCCCAGACUCCUACGGGAGGCAGCAGUGGGGAAUUUUGGACAAUGGGGGAAACCCUGAUCCAGCCAUGCCGCGUGAGUGAAGAAGGCCUUCGGGUUGUAAAGCUCUUUCAGCCGGAACGAAACGGUCACGGCUAAUACCUGUGACUACUGACGGUACCGGAAGAAGAAGCACCGGCUAACUACGUGCCAGCAGCCGCGGUAAUACGUAGGGUGCGAGCGUUAAUCGGAAUUACUGGGCGUAAAGCGUGCGCAGGCGGUUUUGUAAGUCAGAAGGGGAAUCCCCGGGCUUAACCUGGGAACUGCGU